AGCCUGUGCAUAGAGAGAACAUAUUCCUUUGUUUGCAGUAGAAGUACGAAAUUUUCUUUUGCUUAGUGCAGAAACUCUUUUUCUUCGUGAGCACAAUGAUGCCUCAGCCAGCAUUGUCUGUUGAUGGUACUUCUUAGGAAGACUGGAGCUCCUGACGAGUCUGAUAUUUUCUGUCAGCUUUGAAGGACCGUGAAUUGAAGAACCUGGUGGCACUCAUUUGCUUCUACCACCUUUGCUGUGGGGACAGUGACUUUCACAGACGCAUUCAGAGAGGAAUGGUGACAGCUGAAUUCCAGCAGGAAUGAGAGCAUAUUUCUGCAAAACGAGACCAAAAAGAUGGACCUGAAUUGUGAAUGUCUCAGUUGGUGUUCCAAGAUAUUUAUUUGACCCUCCACUCUGUACUUCAGGGACUUUAAAGCCCAUCUCUGGUUUAAAGAUGAUUUUGGUGGUUAUUUCUAAUAAUAUUAGGAAAAAUACGGUUGAUCUUUCAAAGUCAGUUGUAUUUGUUUAACACAAGCUUUUCAUGCCUCAGAAACAUUUAGCGUUCUCAUAGCUUUUAGGUGUUCUUCUAUUAAAAAAAAAAAAGCAACCCCCACCUCCUGCCCCAUUGCCACCCUUCAUUUGGGUUAGGACCAAACUGAAGAAGAUAAUGAAGCAUAGUCUAUACCUCUGCUUUUAGGAUAUCAUUUUAGCUAGAAUCUCAGCUCUAUCUUUUUUAAUCAGAUAUCCACAUCAAUCAGCUGUAAAAGAUUAGUGUCUAGAAAUCAGGCAGCAGUUUACCCAAACAAUAUUUGUUUUUUAUUCCAGAGCUCAGGUUUGCAUGAGAUUCAUAAGUGUAAUAAAUAUCUAAGUAAAUAA
Rhea pennata is the source of this 858-nucleotide long non-coding RNA. RefSeq lists it as uncharacterized. Lineage: Eukaryota; Metazoa; Chordata; Aves; Rheiformes; Rheidae. The record is from RefSeq and is a predicted model, not a curated record. The transcript has 2 exons.